CCUACGGGUGGCAGCAGUGGGGAAUAUUGCGCAAUGGGCGAAAGCCUGACGCAGCGACGCCGCGUGAGGGAUGAAGGUCUUCGGAUCGUAAACCUCUGUCAGCAGGGAAGAACGGUCACUGUGCUAAUCAGCAGUGAAUUGACGGUACCUGCAAGGGAAGCACCGUCUAACUCCGUGCGAGCAGCCGCGGUAAUACGGAGGGGGCGAGCGUUAAUCGGAAUUAUUGGGCGUAAAGCGCUCGUAGGCGGUAUGUCAAGUCAAGGGUGAAAUCCCCGCGCUCAACGUGGGAACUGCGUUUGAAACUGGCAAGCUUGAGUGGGCGGGAGGAUAGUGGAAUUCCUGGUGUAGGGGUGAAAUGCGUAGAUAUCGCGAGGAACAGCAGUGGCGAAGGCGACUAGCUGGAACAUAACUGACGCUGAGGAACGAAAGCGUGGGUAGCGAACAGGAUUAGAUACCCGAGUAGUC
RNAcentral lists this ribosomal RNA (465 nucleotides) under uncultured bacterium. RNAcentral's name for it is "partial 16S ribosomal RNA". It matches the Rfam family "Bacterial small subunit ribosomal RNA", at positions 338 to 795 of the family's 1533-position model. The record is from RNAcentral.